AACGAACGCUGGCGGCAUGCCUAACACAUGCAGUCCGACGGGACCUGCGGGUCUAGUGGCGCACGGGUGCGUAACGCGCGGGAACCUGCCCUUUGGUUCGCCAUAACUCCCCGAAAGGGGUGCUAAUACCGGAUAAUGUCAUUGCACCAAAGAUUGAUCGCCUUUGGAUGGGGCCGCGUUGGGUUAGCUAGGUGGUAGGGUAAAAGCCUACCAAUGCGAGGAUUCAUAGCUGGUUUGAGAGGAUGAUCAUUCACAAUGGGACUGAGACACGGACCAGACUCGGACGCGAGGCAGCGGUAGGGAGUAUUAGGCGCUGAGCGAAAGCGUGGCACAGCCGUGCGGCGGAAGUGAUGAAGGCCUUAGGGUUGUGAAGCUCUUUUAGCCGGGAUGUUAAUGACGGUACCGGGAGAAUAAGCUCCGGCUAACUCCGUG
Molecule: ribosomal RNA, 432 nt
Filed under: uncultured bacterium
Lineage: Bacteria
Description: partial 16S ribosomal RNA
Rfam family: Bacterial small subunit ribosomal RNA
Source: RNAcentral